UCCAAUAACAAAAUAGGCCUUCUGUGUGAUGAUAAUACCAUCUACUAAUACCAUUUUGUGUUCUGCUUCGAUGUGUGUAUAGAAAACUGACAGAGACACUAGUGCGAUGGUUGGCUGUGGUCCCUGGGUGGCAGUGUUGAGCCUGUUCUGCCUGCUCUCAGCAGGCCGACUUGAGGAAGGUCAGUCAAAGAUGCCUAUGUGGAUAAAGCUGUUCUGCCAUUACUCCACAGAUUUGUAAAGUUUCCUGCGGAGCGGAGGAAAUCAAGGUGAAGAGGGUGGGGAGGAACUCUAGGUGGAACUCUAGGUGGAGGGGGUGGGGAGGAACUCUAGGUGGAGAGGGUGGGGAUGAACUCUAGGUGGAGGGGGUGGGGAGGAACUCUAGGUGGAGAGGGUGGGGAUGAACUCUAGGUGGGGGGGUGAACUCAGGGACAAAAACAGUAGCAGACUGGAAAUUUACACGUCUCCAGACCAACACCCUCAUUUAUCUGUCCACAGUUGAGCUGACAGGUGAAUCUGUACAAACCCUGAGAGCAGGAUUUGAAGUCUGGAUAUCUUUCCUUCAUUUAGCUAACAAAAGGUUUUUAUUGUUCCUUUCAGAGUGAUCAAAUAGAGGAAAAGACAGCAUGUGUAACACAGGUUUACUAAACUAGGCCAUUACAGUGAAGCCUAGCUAAUCACACAUAAGCUCCCCCUAGAGGCUAAAUCUAUUUACUACCUCAGACUACAUCACCCAACUUCCACACAUAACUCCAGUUGACUUAGAAUACCCAAACACAAAAAUGCACGACUAAAACACUUAGAAACAAUACACUGAGAAAGAAAACUACAAUCCUUUUUUUU
This is a long non-coding RNA of Clupea harengus (Atlantic herring), 840 nucleotides long. Lineage: Eukaryota; Metazoa; Chordata; Actinopteri; Clupeiformes; Clupeidae. The record is from Ensembl.